RNAcentral lists this ribosomal RNA (375 nucleotides) under uncultured prokaryote. RNAcentral describes it as "bacterial SSU rRNA". It matches the Rfam family "Bacterial small subunit ribosomal RNA", at positions 524 to 896 of the family's 1533-position model. The record is from RNAcentral.
UACGUAGGGUCCGAGCGUUGUCCGGAAUUACUGGGCGUAAAGAGCUCGUAGGUGGUUUGUCGCGUUGUUCGUGAAAUCUCACAACUCAAUUGUGAGCGUGCGAGCGAUACGGGCAGACUGGAGUACUGCAGGGGAGACUGGAAUUCCUGGUGUAGCGGUGGAAUGCGCAGAUAUCAGGAGGAACACCGGUGGCGAAGGCGGGUCUCUGGGCAGUAACUGACGCUGAGGAGCGAAAGCGUGGGGAGCGAACAGGAUUAGAUACCCUGGUAGUCCACGCCGUAAACGGUGGGUACUAGGUGUGGGUUUCCUUCCUUGGGAUCCGUGCCGUAGCUAACGCAUUAAGUACCCCGCCUGGGGAGUACGGCCGCAAGGCUA